AGAGUUUGAUCAUGGCUCAGAAUCAACGCUGGCGGCGUGCCUAACACAUGCAAGUCGAGCGAGAAAAGGGGGGCAACUCCCUGAGUACAGCGGCGCACGGGUGAGUAACACGUGGGUAAUCUGCCCUGGAGUGGGGAAUAACACCGGGAAACCGGUGCUAAUACCGCAUACGAUCACGGAGUCUGCGGAUUUUGUGAUGAAAGGAGCAAUUCGCUCUAGGAGGAGCCCGCGGCUGAUUAGCUAGUUGGUGAGGUAAUGGCUCACCAAGGCAACGAUCAGUAUCCGGUCUGAGAGGACGGUCGGACACACUGGAACUGAGACACGGUCCAGACUCCUACGGGAGGCAGCAGUGGGGAAUUUUUGGCAAUGGGGGCAACCCUGACCAAGCAACGCCGCGUGGGUGAUGAAGUCUCUUGGGACGUAAAACCCUUUCGACGGGGACGAAACCGCAAGGUUGACGGUACCCGUAGAAGAAGCCCCGGCUAACUCCGUGCCAGCAGCCGCGGUAAUACGGGGGGGGCAAGCGUUGUUCGGAAUUACUGGGCGUAAAGGGCGCGUAGGCGGUGCUCUAAGUCGGAUGUGAAAACUCUGGGCUCAACCCAGAGCCUGCAUCCGAAACUGGAGUGCUAGAGUUCUGGAGGGGGUAGCGGAAUUCCUGGUGUAGCGGUGAAAUGCGUAGAUAUCAGGAGGAACACCGGUGGCGAAGGCGGCUACCUGGACAGAAACUGACGCUGAGGCGCGAAAGCUAGGGGAGCAAACAGGAUUAGAUACCCUAGUAGUCC
RNAcentral lists this ribosomal RNA (782 nucleotides) under uncultured bacterium. RNAcentral describes it as "bacterial SSU rRNA". It matches the Rfam family "Bacterial small subunit ribosomal RNA", at positions 8 to 796 of the family's 1533-position model. The record is from RNAcentral.